RNAcentral lists this ribosomal RNA (257 nucleotides) under uncultured bacterium. Its description in RNAcentral is "partial 16S ribosomal RNA". It matches the Rfam family "Bacterial small subunit ribosomal RNA", at positions 524 to 776 of the family's 1533-position model. The record is from RNAcentral.
CACGUAGGGCGCGAGCGUUGUCCGGAAUUAUUGGGCGUAAAGAGCUCGUAGGCGGUCUGUCGCGUCGGAUGUAGAAAAUCCGAGGGCUCCAACCCUGGACCUGCAUUCGAUACGGGCAGACUAGAGUUCGGUAGGGGAGACGUGGAAUUCCUGGUGUAGCGGUGAAAUGCGCAGAUAUCAGGAGGAACACCGAUGGCGAAGGCAGGUCUCUGGGCAUUAACUGACGCUGAGGAGCGAAAGCAUGGGGAGCGAACAGG